CUCGACUGCGACCCCAGGUC
This 20-nucleotide ribosomal RNA is filed under the name Palaquium calophyllum. RNAcentral describes it as "partial 26S ribosomal RNA". Lineage: Eukaryota; Viridiplantae; Streptophyta; Magnoliopsida; Ericales; Sapotaceae. RNAcentral also lists the same sequence under 1 other name. The record is from RNAcentral.